GAAUCUGCCUUCAGGUCGGGGACAACCACUGGAAACGGUGGCUAAUACCCGAUGUGCGCAACGUGAAAGAUUUAUCGCCUGAAGAGGAGCUCGCGUCUGAUUAGCUAGUUGGUGGGGUAAAAGCUCACCAAGGCGACGAUCAGUAGCUGGUCUGAGAGGAUGAUCAGCCACACUGGGACUGAGACACGGCCCAGACUCCUACGGGAGGCAGCAGUGGGGAAUUUUCCGCAAUGGGCGAAAGCCUGACGGAGCAAGACCGCGUGAGGGAGGAAGGCUCUUGGGUUGUAAACCUCUUUUCUCAGGGAAGAACACAAUGACGGUACCUGAGGAAUCAGCCUCGGCUAACUCCGUGCCAGCAGCCGCGGUAAUACGGAGGAGGCAAGCGUUAUCCGGAAUUAUUGGGCGUAAAGCGUCCGCAGGUGGCACUUCAAGUCUGUCGUCAAAGACUGGGGCUUAACCCUGGAAAGGCGGUGGAAACUGAAGCGCUAGAGUGUGGUAGGGGUAGAGGGAAUUCCCGGUGUAGCGGUGAAAUGCGUAGAGAUCGGGAAGAACAUCGGUGGCGAAAGCGCUCUACUGGACCACAACUGACACUCAGGGACGAAAGCUAGGGGAGCGAAUGGGAUUAGAUACCCCAGUAGUCCUAGCCGUA
This 649-nucleotide ribosomal RNA is filed under the name uncultured cyanobacterium. Its description in RNAcentral is "bacterial SSU rRNA". It matches the Rfam family "Bacterial small subunit ribosomal RNA", at positions 122 to 804 of the family's 1533-position model. Lineage: Bacteria; Bacillati; Cyanobacteriota. The record is from RNAcentral.